This is a long non-coding RNA of Sitophilus oryzae (rice weevil), 1387 nucleotides long. RefSeq lists it as uncharacterized. NCBI's taxonomy places the organism in Eukaryota, Metazoa, Arthropoda, Insecta, Coleoptera, Curculionidae. The transcript has 3 exons. The record is from RefSeq and is a predicted model, not a curated record.
AAAAAUCAUAUUUUAUACAAAUGUUUCAAAAUUUUGAAUAUUUAAUACCUACUUUAAAAAAAUAAGGGUUGUUUACAAUAACUGCUUUAUAAAGAAAAAAAAAUCUGCUUUAGGAACAAUUUUUAGCCGAUUCACUUUGUUCAUCCAUAUAUAUGUAGAAGAUUUAUUAUUUUUUCGACAAACUGAUACUUUUUACAUGUUUAUAAAAUGAGUAACGUUGAAAAACUGGACCAGCUAGUAUUUAUUUUUGAUUAUACCUGUAUAUCAUUUUAACGAGACAAAACCUGUUUUAACAAUUAUAUAUUUUAACUUGUUAUUCUAGUCCUUUAUAUUACUCGAGACACUUGACAUUUUUCAGCAGAUAGACGAGCUUCUAUAUGGCUAACUAUUUUUUUACAGAGAAGAGGAGAGUUCGAUGUUGUUUUUUAGCAAUGUAUAUCUAAAACAAAUUUCUUAUACGUAUAUAGUAACGAAAAUAUCGAUUCAUAUUAUUAUUAUUAUUAUUAUAAGUUCUCUCUUUAUUCAGGGAGACACCGUUCGUGUAUAUAUUUAUCAUUUUAGGGUCCUAAUUUUUUUUUUAACUUGAUAUACCUUAAUAAGGUCUACAUUCUAUAUGUGAUAAUAACUUUGUUUUAUUUUUUUUUUCCUUCUCUCUUUGUUCAUACAAUUCUACACAGUAUCUUAUGAUAAUUUUUACGUUUAGGAAUGAACAGUCAAUUUUAAUUAUUACGAUAAAAUAAAGCAAGUUAUUUUUAAGUUGUUUAUAUUACUUUAUACUCGUUUCUGUUCGUUUGGCGUUUAGGACCAAACGACAAUGGAAUAAAAUCAAAAAAUAUUAUAUGUAAGUACUUUACGAAUUUUGUGGUGAAAUUAAAUAAAAUGAACCUUGUGUAGUGUUUUAUUUGUCCUAGAUUUUAACUUGUCUUGUGGCUGUCUCAGGGGCUCACGUCUUGUGAGUACGGGUCUGGCGAACCCGAGGUACCUUAGCUGGGCGCUCACUUUGCUUCAACUUGUCUUGGGUGAGGUCCUCUAUUUUCUUUUCUGUAUAGAUCUUCCUUGAUCAACUCUUGUUUUCUUCCUAUUUUCGUUCUUUUUUUCUUCCUUUUAAGACACGAUAGAAGAAGGCUCCAAUCAAUGUUUUUAGAGAAGCUUGUUUACCUUCAUGAAGAUGUUCAACCAGUGCAUUGGAGAUUGUAAGUAAUGAUUUUCCGCAAAAAAUAUCACCUGCCUCUAGAGCCUGAAUGUUAUCAACAAUUAUGGAUAAUGUCUUAGUGUUCCCAAACAGUGCACAAGUUUCCAUCUACAUCGUACCAUGAUCGAGGUCCACUACGUGCAUCUUCUUUGAUACACCUUGUAUAUAUUGUAUUAUAUUUUUGUACGUUUUGUU